UACGUAGGGUGCGAGCGUUAAUCGGAAUUACUGGGCGUAAAGCGUGCGCAGGCGGUUUUGUAAGCCAGAUGUGAAAUCCCCGGGCUUAACCUGGGAAUGGCAUUUGGGACUGCAAGGCUUGAGUGCGGCAGAGGAGACUGGAAUUCCUGGUGUAGCAGUGAAAUGCGUAGAUAUCAGAAGGAACACCGAUGGCGAAGGCAGGUCUCUGGGCUGACACUGACGCUCAUGCACGAAAGCGUGGGGAGCAAACAGG
RNAcentral lists this ribosomal RNA (253 nucleotides) under uncultured bacterium. RNAcentral's name for it is "partial 16S ribosomal RNA". It matches the Rfam family "Bacterial small subunit ribosomal RNA", at positions 524 to 776 of the family's 1533-position model. The record is from RNAcentral.